UGGGGAAUAUUGCACAAUGGGGGAAACCCUGAUGCAGCGACGCCGCGUGAACGAAGAAGGUAUUCGUAUCGUAAAGUUCUGUCCUAUGGGAAGAUAAUGACAGUACCAUAGAAGAAAGCUCCGGCUAAAUACGUGCCAGCAGCCGCGGUAAUACGUAUGGAGCGAGCGUUGUCCGGAAUUAUUGGGCGUAAAGGGUACGCAGGCGGUUUAAUAAGUCGAAUGUUAAAGAUCGGGGCUCAACCCCGCAAAGCAUUGGAAACUGAUAAACUUGAGUAGUGGAGAGGAAAGUGGAAUUCCUAGUGUAGUGGUGAAAUACGUAGAUAUUAGGAGGAAUACCAGUAGCAAAGGCGACUUUCUGGACACAAACUGACGCUGAGGUACGAAUGCGUAGGGAGCAAACAGG
This 403-nucleotide ribosomal RNA is filed under the name bacterium. RNAcentral's name for it is "partial 16S ribosomal RNA". It matches the Rfam family "Bacterial small subunit ribosomal RNA", at positions 355 to 776 of the family's 1533-position model. The record is from RNAcentral.